GACGAACGCUGGCGGCGUGCCUAAUACAUGCAAGUAGAACGCUGAAGGAGGAGCUUGCUUCUCUGGAUGAGUUGCGAACGGGUGAGUAACGCGUAGGUAACCUGCCUGGUAGCGGGGGAUAACUAUUGGAAACGAUAGCUAAUACCGCAUAAGAGUAGAUGUUGCAUGACAUUUGCUUAAAAGGUGCAAUUGCAUCACUACCAGAUGGACCUGCGUUGUAUUAGCUAGUUGGUGGGGUAACGGCUCACCAAGGCGACGAUACAUAGCCGACCUGAGAGGGUGAUCGGCCACACUGGGACUGAGACACGGCCCAGACUCCUACGGGAGGCAGCAGUAGGGAAUCUUCGGCAAUAGACGGAAGUCUGACCGAGCAACGCCGCGGGAGUGAAGAAGGUUUUCGGAUCGUAAAGCUCUGUUGUAAGAGAAGAACGAGUGUGAGAGUGGAAAGUUCACACUGUGACGGUAUCUUACCAGAAAGGGACGGCUAACUACGUG
RNAcentral lists this ribosomal RNA (495 nucleotides) under uncultured bacterium. Its description in RNAcentral is "partial 16S ribosomal RNA". It matches the Rfam family "Bacterial small subunit ribosomal RNA", at positions 28 to 507 of the family's 1533-position model. The record is from RNAcentral.